GAAUAUUGGACAAUGGGGGGAACCCUGAUCCAGCCAUGCCGCGUGUGUGAAGAAGGCCUUUUGGUUGUAAAGCACUUUAAGCGAGGAGGAGGCUACUUAGAUUAAUACUCUAGGAUAGUGGACGUUACACGCAGAAUAAGCACAGGCUGACCCUGUGCCAGCAGCCGCGGUAAUACAGAGGGUGCAAGCGUUAAUCGGAUUUACUUGGCGUAAAGCGCGCGUAGGUGGCCAAUUAAGUCAAAUGUGAAAUCCCCGAGCUUAACUGGGGAAUUGCAGUCGAUACUGGUUGGCUAGAGUAUGGGAGAGGAUGGUAGAAUUCCAGGUGCAGCGGUGAAAUGCGUAGAGAUCUGGAGGAAUACCGAUGGCGAAGGCAGCCAUCUGGCCUAAUACUGACACUGAGGUGCGAAAGCAUGGGGAGCAAACA
This 424-nucleotide ribosomal RNA is filed under the name uncultured bacterium. RNAcentral's name for it is "bacterial SSU rRNA". It matches the Rfam family "Bacterial small subunit ribosomal RNA", at positions 359 to 774 of the family's 1533-position model. The record is from RNAcentral.